AUCAUAUUCCUUCCUUCCUGACAAAGGCAAAUCAAAUCAUAUUCCUUCUACACCGUCACUUUCACUCCAUCUUUUAUGCAUUGUAUCAUUUCUUUUCUUCACCCCACAUCACCACCACACCAUCUAUCCCCUCUAUAAUACUCUUUCACAAAUCAAUUUUCUCCUACUUCGUUCCUCUGCAACAAGAACAAGAUUUAUUCUUCUCAACUUCUACUCAAUCAAAUUCAAGAAACCAAGAAUCCAAAUUCAGGUAGGAGAAAACCAACAGCCUUGCUUGAGCCGAUCUGUUCAGUGAGGGUACGUCCGCAAGUAAAGUCGGAACGAAUGAUUCAAGUUAAAGGAACUAAAUGAUCCAGGUUGAGCAGCGAAGUGGUGGAGGAAGUGCUAUUGAGACAAGACAUUUAAUUCAGUCAGAUUUUGAC
Molecule: long non-coding RNA, 422 nt
Organism: Salvia splendens (bonfire salvia)
Lineage: Eukaryota; Viridiplantae; Streptophyta; Magnoliopsida; Lamiales; Lamiaceae
Exons: 3
Source: RefSeq, a predicted model, not a curated record